This 68-nucleotide transfer RNA is filed under the name Ictidomys tridecemlineatus (thirteen-lined ground squirrel). Its description in RNAcentral is "Spermophilus tridecemlineatus (thirteen-lined ground squirrel) tRNA". It matches the Rfam family "tRNA". From Rfam's summary of the family: Transfer RNA (tRNA) molecules are approximately 80 nucleotides in length. Their secondary structure includes four short double-helical elements and three loops (D, anti-codon, and T loops). The record is from Rfam by way of RNAcentral. Lineage: Eukaryota; Metazoa; Chordata; Mammalia; Rodentia; Sciuridae.
GGGGUUGUGGCUCAGUGGUAGAGCGCUCGCCCAGCGCAGUCAGGACCUGGGUUCGAUUCCCAGCACCA